UACGGAGGGGGCUAGCGUUGUUCGGAAUUACUGGGCGUAAAGCGCGUGUAGGCGGCUUUGCAAGUCGGGUGUGAAAGCCCUCAGCUCAACUGAGGAAGUGCGCCCGAAACUGCAGAGCUUGAGUGCCGGAGAGGGUGGCGGAAUUCCCCAAGUAGAGGUGAAAUUCGUAGAUAUGGGGAGGAACACCGGUGGCGAAGGCGGCCACCUGGACGGUAACUGACGCUGAGACGCGAAAGCGUGGGGAGCAAACAGG
RNAcentral lists this ribosomal RNA (253 nucleotides) under uncultured bacterium. RNAcentral's name for it is "partial 16S ribosomal RNA". It matches the Rfam family "Bacterial small subunit ribosomal RNA", at positions 524 to 776 of the family's 1533-position model. The record is from RNAcentral.